Molecule: long non-coding RNA, 1409 nt
Organism: Canis lupus familiaris (dog)
Lineage: Eukaryota; Metazoa; Chordata; Mammalia; Carnivora; Canidae
Exons: 7
Source: RefSeq, a predicted model, not a curated record
GUGCGCACACCGGAAGUGGCCGUCCCGGACGCGAGCGUAGCCGCCGAGGGCUCCCCGCGGGACGUCUCCUGGGCAGCCGGCGCUGCCCUCCGGAGGCCGAGGAAGCCUAGAUGGAGAACCAUCACUUGAGAAUCUUUUAACUCCAAGCAUGUGCUGUAUACCAAGGGCAUCCUUAUAACCUGUGAGCUUGUUGGAAAUGCAGAAUUUCAGGCCCCUGCAUCAGAAUCUGCAUUUUAACAAGGUUCCAACCAGUGAUUCACAUGCCCGCUAAAGGUGAAGACUACAAUGAAAAGAGAUGAAACAAUCGAGACCCCCGCUCCUGUGUGGUCUUUCUAGUGUCUCUUCAUCUGCUUUCCUUCCCAGGGAUGGACCAGGCACAGAGAAGUUCCAUCAUUACCAUGGUGACACAGUAAGCGUCACUGUCUAGUUAUCAGCAACGAUAAGAUGUCUCGGAUGCAGGAGAGGGGCUGACAGCGUGUUAGCUGUGCGCAUACAUCCCGUGCGCACCCUCCGGAGCGUGCCCGGACGAGGACGAGGACGAGGUAUGGCCCAGCGAACGGCCGGCGGGCGUCCCACAGCUCUGCUGCCAGAGACGACGCACCUGCAGGUACAGGCGAAAUUCUCCCUUGGAGGACAUCUUCCAUUUGGGAGUUUUAUCCCUUGCGUUGUGGGAAGGGAAGGAGGGGAAGCCAGAGCCUUCUUGCACCUGCCGUUUCUCAAGAGCCUUUAGCUCAAAAUCAUCCUUAUAUCGAAGCGGCAUAUUCUGGGGUGACCCAUUUUGCCAUCCUCUGCACCCAUGAAAUAAAAUCUAUGAGAUGCCAAAAAGCCCCAGUGAUACUGAAAUACAGGUCCGGCCUCCCCCGUUAGGAGCAUCCCCCACCAGGUGGUCACCAGGGGACUCCGCUGGCGAGCUGGAAGCCUUUUGUUAGAAACGCAGAACUGACUCGGACGCAUCCUCACCGCCCAGAGCUCACCCUUGGCAACGAACACCCAAUAGACUCGGGCAAGUGUACACUGACAGGUGCGACCAUUAGGAUAUCGUGCAGAAGAGCCUCACGUCCCCCCAGAUCUUGCUCCACUCAUUCAUCUCUCCCGCCAACCACCGGUCUUCUCACUGUCUCCGGUUUUGCCUUCUCCAGAGGUCACACGGUUGGAAUCCUGUGCUCCGUGUCCUCUUCAGAUUGGUUCCUUUCACUCAGUGGUAGCAGUUAAGGUCCCUCCUUGUCUUCUCAGGGCUUGGUGGCUCAUUUCUUUCGAGCCAUCCUAUAUCUUUGUGAUGAUUUUUUUUCUUGUUUAAGUAGAUGUUGGCUGCUUCCAAGGUGAAAUACCCUGUUGAAGACAAAGAGAUAUUUAAAAAAAAAAAAGAUUUUAUUUAUUUAUUUGAGAGAGUGAGAAAGCGAGCAUGAUUG